ACAGGAAGUGCCUACGGAGGCCGGGCAGGCAGCGGCGUCCGGGCAUGAAGCCGGGCGGCUACCGGAUCGCGGGCGGCGGCGGCAUCGCGGGCGGCGGCGGCGAUGAGCGACAUAGUGGAGAAGACGUUGACGGCGCUGCCGGGACUCUUUCUGCAGAACCAGCCAGGUGGUGGGCCCGCGGCCGCCAAGGCGUCCUUCUCCUCGAGGCUAGGCAGCCUCGUCCGCGGCAUCACCGCCCUCACCUCCAAGCACGAAGAAGAAAAAUUAAUCCAGCAGGAACUGAGUAGUCUGAAAGCAACUGUUUCUGCUCCUACUACAACACUGAAAAUGAUGAAGGAAUGUAUGGUGAGACUUAUAUAUUGUGAAAUGCUUGGAUAUGAUGCUUCCUUUGGCUAUAUUCAUGCAAUCAAGUUAGCCCAACAAGGAAACCUCUUAGAAAAAAGAGUAGGUUAUUUGGCUGUUUCCUUAUUUCUACAUGAAAGUCAUGAAUUAUUGCUUCUCCUUGUGAAUACAGUUGUAAAGGAUCUGCAGAGCACUAACCUAGUAGAAGUGUGUAUGGCACUGACUGUUGUUAGCCAGAUUUUCCCCCGAGAAAUGAUUCCAGCUGUUCUUCCAUUAAUAGAAGAUAAACUUCAACAUUCUAAGGAGAUUAUACGAAGAAAAGCUGUUCUGGCAUUAUACAAAUUCCAUCUCAUUGCUCCUAAUCAAGUACAACAUAUUCAUAUUAAGUUUCGGAAAGCACUUUGUGACAGAGAUGUUGGGGUCAUGGCUGCCUCCUUGCAUAUAUAUCUUAGAAUGAUUAAGGAGAAUUCGUCUGGAUAUAAAGACUUGACUGGGAGUUUUGUAACCAUUUUGAAGCAAGUAGUUGGAGGAAAACUCCCAGUAGAUUUCAAUUACCACAGUGUCCCAGCACCAUGGUUACAAAUUCAGCUCUUGAGAAUACUAGGACUUCUAGGAAAAGAUGAUCAAAGGACAAGUGAAUUAAUGUAUGAUGUUCUUGAUGAAUCCUUACGAAGAGCCGAGUUAAAUCACAAUGUCACAUAUGCUAUUUUGUUUGAAUGCGUGCAUACAGUUUAUUCUAUUUAUCCUAAAUCGGAAUUACUUGAGAAGGCUGCCAAGUGCAUUGGAAAAUUUGUUCUGUCACCUAAAAUAAAUCUAAAAUAUUUAGGACUGAAGGCUCUUACCUAUGUUAUCCAACAGGAUCCUACUCUGGCUCUUCAACACCAGAUGACAAUAAUUGAAUGUUUAGAUCAUCCUGAUCCCAUUAUUAAAAGAGAGACUCUGGAACUUCUUUACAGAAUUACUAAUGCACAGAAUGUAACAGUUAUUGUCCAGAAAAUGCUUGAAUAUUUACAUCAGAGCAAAGAAGAGUAUGUCAUCGUCAAUUUGGUCGGCAAAAUAGCAGAGCUGGCUGAGAAAUAUGCUCCUGAUAAUGCGUGGUUUAUUCAGACAAUGAAUGCUGUGUUUUCAGUAGGAGGAGAUGUAAUGCAUCCUGAUAUUCCCAAUAACUUUCUGAGACUACUAGCAGAAGGUUUUGAUGAUGAAACAGAAGAUCAGCAAUUAAGACUCUAUGCAGUUCAGUCUUACCUCACUUUACUAGAUAUGGAAAAUGUGUUCUAUCCACAGAGAUUUCUUCAAGUUAUGAGUUGGGUAUUAGGGGAAUAUUCCUACCUCUUAGAUAAGGAAACGCCAGCAGAAGUUAUAGCUAAGCUCUACAAGUUACUUAUGAAUGACUCUGUGUCUUCAGAAACAAAAACCUGGUUAAUUGCUGCUGUGACCAAAUUGACACCUCAGGCACACUCUUCUGAUACAGUUGAGAGAUUAAUCCAUGAAUUUACCAUAUCUUUGGAUACUUGUAUGAGACAACAUGCAUUUGAAUUAAAACAUUUGCAUGAGAAUGUGGAACUUAUGACGAGCUUGCUUCCAGUUGACAGGAGUUGUGAAGACUUGGCGGUAGAUGCUUCUUUAUCUUUUCUGGAUGGUUUUGUGGCUGAAGGACUCAGUCAGGGUGCAGCACCUUACAAACCUCACCAUCAACGCCAGGAGGAAAAGCUUUCUCAGGAAAAAGUUCUCAAUUUUGAACCGUAUGGACUCUCCUUUUCUUCAUCUGGCUUCACUGGACGACAGUCUCCUGCUGGCAUUUCUCUUGGUUCAGAUAUAUCUGGGAAUAGUGCUGAGACAGGACUGAAAGAGACAAAUAGCUUGAAGCUAGAAGGUAUAAAGAAAUUGUGGGGGAAAGAAGGCUAUCUUCCCAAGAAGGAAAGCAAAACUGGUGAUGAAAGUGGAGCUCUGCCUAUUCCUCAAGAGAGUAUAAUGGAGAAUGUAGAUCAAACUAUAACAAAAAAGGAUCAAUCUCAAGUUCUUACCCAAUCUAAAGAGGAGAAAGAAAAGCAGCUGCUGGCAUCAUCAUUAUUUGUUGGGCUAGGAUCAGAAAGUACAGUCAACCUGCUGGGAAAAGCAGAUACUGUCUCUCACAAGUUCAGAAGGAAAUCAAAAAUCAAGGAAGCUAAAAGUGGUGAAGCAUCCAGUACUCAUAAUAUGACCUGUUCUUCCUUUAGUUCUUUGUCAAAUGUGGCAUAUGAAGAUGACUAUUACUUGAAUACUUUGCACGAUAGAGGAGACAAAGAAUUAAAGACAUUUUCUCUCAAUUCAGAACUUUUGGAUUCUGAGUCACUCACAGAACUGCCCUUGGUUGAGAAAUUCUCAAAUUGCAGUCUGUCUACACCUUCAUUGUUUGCUGAUAACAGCAUGGAAAUUUUUCACCCUCCUCAAUCUAUUGCAGCCUCAGUUGCCAAGGAAAGCUCUUUAGCUUCAUCUUUUUUGGAAGAAACUACUGAAUACAUACACUCAAAUGCUAUGGAAGUCUGUAAUAAUGAAACCAUAUCAGUGUCUUCUUAUAAAAUUUGGAAAGAUGAUUGUUUAUUGAUGGUCUGGUCAGUCACUAAUAAGAGUGGUUUGGAAUUGAAAAGUGCUAACUUAGAAAUUUUUCCUGCAGAAAAUUUCAAGGUCACUGAGCAACCUGGAUGCUGUUUGCCUAUAAUGGAAGCAGAAAGCACCAAAAGCUUUCAAUAUAGUGUGCAGAUAGAAAAACCUUUUACAGAAGGAAUUCUUUCUGGUUUUAUUAGGUAUCAUAUGAUGGAUACUCAUUCUGCUCAGCUGGAAUUUUCUGUAAACUUAUCACUGUUAGAUUUCAUUAGACCGUUAAAAAUCUCAAGUGAAGACUUUGGGAAACUCUGGUUAUCCUUCGCCAAUGAUGUGAAACAAAAUGUAAAAAUGUCAGAAUCUCAAGCUGCACUUCCUUCUGCACUAAAGACUCUGCAACAGAAACUAAGACUCCAUAUUAUUGAAAUUAUAGGCAAUGAAGGGCUAUUGGCCUGUCAGCUGCUCCCAUCCAUCCCCUGCUUACUGCAUUGCCGAGUUUAUGCAGAUGUAUUAGCCCUGUGGUUCAGAUCUUCCUGCUCUACUCUUCCUGACUAUUUACUAUAUCAGUGUCAAAAGGUGAUAGAGGGAUCCUAGCAGAAGCUCUGCUAAAUUUUACUCCAUCAAGAUCAAUGGUUUACAUAGAUAAACUUAUUUACCAAAGUCAAAAGAACUCAUGGUUGCUGGAUGGAGAGAAUCCAGUUAUAAAGUUUCCAAAAAGGAGACAAUGGAGCUACUGGCUGGAAGAAACCUGAGUCUCUGAAUGGAGCAGUUCCUUUCCCUCUUGACCUCCCUGGACUGUAACCUGAAUUAAAAACAAGUCUUUGUUGUGUUAAGCCACUGCGAUUUGGGGGUUUGUUGCAUCAGCUAGAACUACCCUGACUAAUGCAUCUGCUUAGACCCAUCAUUUUCAAUAUGUUAGCCACUAGCCACAUGUCGGAACUGAGCACUUGAAAUGUGGCUAGUCAGAAUUGAGAUGUGCUCUAACUAUAGAACAAGUGGAUUU
This is an RNA transcript of Rhinopithecus roxellana (golden snub-nosed monkey), 3925 nucleotides long. It is a transcript of the gene named adaptor related protein complex 4 subunit epsilon 1, with no coding region annotated. Lineage: Eukaryota; Metazoa; Chordata; Mammalia; Primates; Cercopithecidae. The record is from RefSeq and is a predicted model, not a curated record. The transcript is spliced from 22 exons.